ACGAAUUCACUUGAUAGUCACGUUUGUCUACAAGUAAUAGCUAUGUACGUGUCAAAUCCAACAAGUUUCCAUCUUUCCCAUAACCUCGUUUAGAUAGCUGACUAAUUUCUAACUCAUUACAUCAUGAUUUGCUGACACGUUGGCCUGUUAAAAAUUUUUUUGCGUUGGAAACCGAAUAGUUCUUGUUGUAAAUUUUUUGUUCAGUAGCUCGCGCGGCCCACACUUUGACAUGAGAAUGACAGAUUCUUCAUCGCAAAAUAAUAACGAUAGUGCUAACGGUUCUCAUGGCAAGCGUACUGCUCAGAGUAGUGGAAGCUCCGGAGCCUCUUUCCCAAAAAUAGUGAAGUUUAAUGGUAAUGUCCAAAGAACCCCAGGCCGAGAUUCAGAUGCUACCAAAAGACCUGCACCAGCACAUUACUCCAGAGAGGAUUUACUAGCCCAGAAACAAGCUUUACCAAUUUAUGCAGUUAGACAGAGAUUAUUGGAAGAACUCAGGAAACACCAAACAUUAAUCAUUAUUGGAGAAACCGGGAGUGGGAAAACAACCCAGAUCCCUCAGUUGAUUUUUACUCAUGGCAUGACAGAAAAUGGAACUAUUGCAGUCACACAGCCUAGGAGGGUUGCUGCCAUUACCCUAGCCACACGAGUGGCACAGGAAAUGGGUGCUCAACUGGGCACAACAGUUGGCUACACUGUGCGCUUUGAAGAUGUGUCGAACUUCAAGACCAAAGUGAAAUUCUUGACUGAUGGUAUGUUACUUCGAGAAGCCAUGUUGGAUCCCUUACUGAAGAGAUAUAGUGUCAUCAUCCUGGAUGAGGCCCAUGAAAGGACCAUUCACACAGAUGUGUUGUUCAGUGUUGUGAAAACAGCCCAAAAAAAGCGAUCUGAACAGGGAAACAAUCGAUUAAAAAUUGUUAUUAUGUCUGCUACGAUGGAUGUUGAUCAUUUCAGUCUGUACUUUAACAAAGCUUCCGUAGUGUACCUAGAGGGACGGCAAUUCCCUAUCCAAGUUUUUCAUGCCAAACAAAUUCAGGAAGACUAUCUUUUUAGUUCAUUGGUGACACUCUUUCAAAUCCACAAAGACGCUCCUGCCGAUCAUCACAUUCUCAUCUUCUUAACGGGUCAAGAAGAAAUCGAAGCGUUCGCCAAAAGCGCCCGCACAAUAGCUAAAGAUCUUCAAGGCAAGUAUGCCAAUUUAAAGGUGUGCCCACUUUUUGCCAAUUUGCCUCAAGCUCAGCAAAUGGAGGCCUUUAGCAAUCCGCCACCUAACACGAGGAAAGUGGUACUGAGUACAAAUAUUGCGGAAACAUCCGUUACAAUCGACGGUAUACGCUAUGUUAUCGAUUGUGGUCGUGUCAAAGCCAGAACUCAUAUGCCCGCAACAGGCAUGGAUGUCCUUAGGAUACAAAAAAUUGCUCAGGCCCAGGCUUGGCAAAGAGCUGGGCGAGCAGGCAGACAAGCUGCCGGCUUUUGCUACCGUGCCUAUACAUUAAACGAAUUUGAGAAAAUGGCGCCCAAUCCAGUACCUGAAAUUCAACGCUGCAGUUUGACCACGGUUGUGCUUCAGUUACUCGCCUUGGGCGUUCAAGAUCCACUGCACUUUGAUUUCAUGGAUAAACCUCCAACUGAACUAAUUGAAGGCGCCAUGAAAGAACUUUUCAUGCUGGGCGGCAUUCAGUCGACAGAGAAACCCGUGUUGACAGAAGUAGGCCAACAGAUGGCGGCUUUCCCGCUCGAUCCGCGCUUCACUAAACUCAUCUUAGCAUCUAAAGAUCUCGGAUGCACGGAGGAAAUUGUGAGCAUUGUAGCGCUGCUAUCGGCCGAUUCGAUCAUGGUGAACGCUACUGCUCAACGGGAGCAGGCCAACAAUGUCCGUGCUAAAUUCGCGUCUUCCGAAGGUGACCAUAUGACUCUGCUCAACAUUUUCCGCGCUUUUAGAACAGCAAAACAGAACAGAAAUUGGUGUUUCGAAAAUUUCGUCAAUUACCGCAAUUUGAUGUACGCCGUUGAAGUGAGGAAACAGUUGGCGGAAUUGUGCGAACGGACAAACAUCCCCAUGAAAUCUUGCACACCGUUGACGGAACCUGUCCGUCGCUGUCUCUUGGCCGGCCUUUUCCUCUCAGUCGCUGAAUACCAACGCGAAGGACACUAUCUCACUCUUGGAUCGCGCCAAACAGUGGCCAUUCACCCAUCGUCCGUCCUUUUCCACACGAAACCCUCUUGCAUUGUAUUCACCGAGCUCAUACAGACAGGCAAACGUUAUGUGCGUCAAGUGACGCUCAUAGAUCGGGACUGGAUCGAAGAAUUACCCAAAGAGACUCUUCUACAGCUGCGCCAAACAUUUCGAGGGACCGUCAACGGACCGAAUCGCAGUUAACGGACGACAACGUUCUUAUUAUUAUGUUCAACCACAUCGGCAAAGCCAAUACAUCCAUUAUGAAAAUUAAAAAAAAA
This is an RNA transcript of Daphnia carinata, 2454 nucleotides long. It is a transcript of the gene named ATP-dependent RNA helicase DHX33-like, with no coding region annotated. The record is from RefSeq and is a predicted model, not a curated record. The transcript has 15 exons. Lineage: Eukaryota; Metazoa; Arthropoda; Branchiopoda; Diplostraca; Daphniidae.